RNAcentral lists this long non-coding RNA (1013 nucleotides) under Homo sapiens (human). RNAcentral's name for it is "non-protein coding lnc-BNIP3-3:1". Lineage: Eukaryota; Metazoa; Chordata; Mammalia; Primates; Hominidae. The record is from RNAcentral.
UUUGGCACAGCUUGACCAUGGACUUCUUUCUUCCAAGGCCACGAGGAGGUGUCCAUGUGUUCUGGGUUCAUGCCUGGUCUUUGGGCAGAUGUGGGAAUGUGUUCUGGGUUCAUGCCUGGUCUUUGGGCAGGUGGUUCCCAGGGCUGCAGCUCUGUUCGUCUGAGGGGAAAGGCCCAUGCAGUCGAUGCUACUGGGGGCUCUGUGGGUGUCAUGGGUGCUCAGAGUCCCUGUGGAGCCUCAUGGGUUGAAUCUGCUGCCCUCCCAACCUCACCUGCCCUCCCAACCUCACCUGCCCUCCCAACCUCACCUGCCCCCCCAACCUCACCUGCCCCUGCAACCUCACCUGCCCCCCCAACCUCACCUGCCCCCCCCAACCUCACCUGUUCCCCCCAACCUCACCUGCCCCCCCAACCUCACCUGCCCCCCCAACCUCACCUGCCCCCCCCAACCUCACCUGCCCCUGUUCUCCACCUUGAUGCCACCUCCUACUCUGCCCGUUUCCUGCGGGGCUUCCCAUGGGGCCCGGCAAGCCGCUGCGGACCCUGCAGACCUCAGGCACGGGUGGAUGCGGGGCUUGUGGUCGGCGUCUGCUCUUCACCACCAUCCUCCUGUGGUCCACGUGCCCUUUCAGUUGGCCAGCUCUGCUCAUGGUUGGUCAGAGGCUGUGGGAUGCGCUUAAAAGCCUCAGCAGCAAGUCCUGGAAUUUGGAGAGUCUGUGACAGAGAAGGGCACAUUCCGUGGCCAGACAGGUUUUGAUUCUGUGCCAUCUGUGUACUUGCCUCUGACCAUCAGGUGGGGGCUGCACCCGUCUUCUCCUUUGGUUCCCCUGGACUUUGGAUGGGGCGGGGCUGGACUCAGGGAGGCCUCCUGGGCAGUCUGGGGUGGCUCUUCCCAGCAGAGCGUGGGGAGAAGUGGAGCCACAGCCAGCCAUGGGGGCGGAGGAGGAGGCAGCAGCUGUGUUUCUCAGUCUCAGGCGCAGCGGAGUCGGACGUGUAUGGCACCACGUGUUCCCU